RNAcentral lists this ribosomal RNA (549 nucleotides) under uncultured bacterium. RNAcentral describes it as "partial 16S ribosomal RNA". It matches the Rfam family "Bacterial small subunit ribosomal RNA", at positions 355 to 920 of the family's 1533-position model. The record is from RNAcentral.
UGGGGAAUAUUGCACAAUGGGCGAAAGCCUGAUGCAGCAACGCCGCGUGAGUGAUGAAGGCCUUCGGGUUGUAAAGCUCUGUCUUUUGGGACGAUAAUGACGGUACCAAAGGAGGAAGCCACGGCUAACUACGUGCCAGCAGCCGCGGUAAUACGUAGGUGGCAAGCGUUGUCCGGAUUUACUGGGCGUAAAGGAUGCGUAGGCGGAUUUUUAAGUGAGAUGUGAAAUACCCGGGCUUAACUUGGGUGCUGCAUUUCAAACUGGGAAUCUAGAGUGCGGGAGAGGAGAAUGGAAUCCCUAGUGUAGCGGUGAAAUGCGUAGAGAUUAGGAAGAACACCAGUGGCGAAGGCGAUUCUCUGGACCGUAACUGACGCUGAGGCAUGAAAGCGUGGGUAGCAAACAGGAUUAGAUACCCUGGUAGUCCACGCCGUAAACGAUGAGUACUAGGUGUAGGAGGUAUCGACCCCUUCUGUGCCGCAGUUAACACAAUAAGUACUCCGCCUGGGAAGUACGAUCGCAAGAUUAAAACUCAAAUGAAUUGACGGGGUC